Molecule: non-coding RNA, 111 nt
Organism: Brachypodium distachyon (stiff brome)
Lineage: Eukaryota; Viridiplantae; Streptophyta; Magnoliopsida; Poales; Poaceae
Source: Rfam
GAAAUACUCCCCCCGUUCCUAAAAAGGAUGUCGCAAAAUUUUCAAAAUAUGGAUGUACAUCCAAAUUUAAACAAAUUUGAGACAUCUUUUUUUGGACGGAGGAAAUAUAUA